UACAGAGGUCUCAAGCGUUGUUCGGAUUCAUUGGGCGUAAAGGGUGCGUAGGCGGCGCGGUAAGUCGGGUGUGAAAUCUCGGGGCUUAACUCCGAAACUGCAUUCGAUACUGCCGUGCUUGAGGACUGGAGAGGAGACUGGAAUUUACGGUGUAGCGGUGAAAUGCGUAGAUAUCGUAAGGAACACCAGUGGCGAAGGCGGCUCACUGGCCCGGUACUGACGCUGAUGUGCGAAAGCGUGGGGAGCAAACAGG
RNAcentral lists this ribosomal RNA (253 nucleotides) under uncultured bacterium. Its description in RNAcentral is "partial 16S ribosomal RNA". It matches the Rfam family "Bacterial small subunit ribosomal RNA", at positions 524 to 776 of the family's 1533-position model. The record is from RNAcentral.